Quercus robur (English oak) is the source of this 3179-nucleotide long non-coding RNA. RefSeq lists it as uncharacterized. The record is from RefSeq and is a predicted model, not a curated record. The transcript has 5 exons. NCBI's taxonomy places the organism in Eukaryota, Viridiplantae, Streptophyta, Magnoliopsida, Fagales, Fagaceae.
CUCUCUCCUAUCUACCUACAUUAUAUACACUACACACACUCACUCAAUCUUUAGAAUAAUAAUUUACUGUACUUACUCAUUAUAUUUUCAGAUUGUGCAAAGGACCAUUGAAAUGCUGAUUUCUGAGCAACCCAUGUCUUCUAAUGUUAUUUGCAAUGGUUAUGAUAAGGCAAGUUUUCUUUCUUUCGUUCUUUACUUAUUAUCGUGCUUACUAUGUUUUUUUUUUUGGGUUUGUUUCCUCAAAACUUUCAAUCAGAAGGUAAUUACUAUUUGCGACCAGUGGUUUUAUAGCGGGGUAAAUCGCUGGUUAGGGAGUUUUGGUAAAAGUACUGGUGUCCAGACUUGUACUAGAGAGCUGCCAGUCAAACCCAAGACAGUCACUUUGGGACUAAGUGCCUAACCACUCGGCCAACCCCCAACCCCACCACUCGGACAACCCCACUGGGUUAUUGUACUUACUAUGUUGCUAUCAACCUUUUUUGGCAAAUGGGGUUGGCGGUUUUUUAUAAUGUUUACAGUAGGUAUCCUCAUUUGUUUAUUUACAGAGUAAUCAUUCAACCCCAAUUAUGGAACUUCUAUGCUCUCCAGCUUGGUGUCUUCUUUUACAAAGGGUUGGGGAUAAUGUCAUGCUUUAUCUUUUAAAGUACACAUCAAUAUUUUUGCCAGUUCCUUGUAAGAAGCAUUAUCAAGUAUCAGGUCCUCCUAUAAGUGAUUUAUGCCUCGAUUUGUCCAGCCAAACAUUGGAGUCUCAGGAUCAACCUGCUUCACAUUAUAAAUGUGGUAAACAUAAAACAUGUGUUGGUUGCAUCAAAAUUCCUUUAUAUAGGACUUCAGAAAUAUAAUGUUACUACACACACAUCACCAUAAGUACCAUCUAUUUUUUCAAAAUGCUUUGUUAAUAUUUUAGCCUUACGUGUAAAAUGAAGUUUAUUGAAAUAUCCAGUGCAGAACUAAUGGUUGGUGAAUACAAAUUAUAUUAAAUUUAAAUAAUAUAGUUAAUGUGACCAUGUUCACAUUAGAACACUCUAAUACAAUCGGAUAAUUAUACUCAGCCACAUCAAUUUUACAAUUUAAAUAAAUAAUAAAUAGUCUUUGAUACGGGAUAAAAUGUAACUGUCGUAGUCUUUGAUACUCUAAUCCUCUGCUUGGUAGCCUCUUUCUGACUUUAGGCCUGUUUCUUUCUUGGUCUUUUCUUACCUGACCUGUUCCCAUCACUUUGUGGACGUUCAUUUCUAAUUGAUCUUUCCCUUUUCUUGUUGUCCUUAAUUCUUUUUGCUUUUGUGGUUAUUGUAUUGCCAUUAGAUUGUUCAGUCAUUAUAUAACAUCUCAUUUCUUAAAGAUUGAUGGGAGUCCAAAUGGUGAUUUUGUCCCAACUUUUCUCGGGAUCCAACAAGAAGAGGGCUUUAGUUGACAGUGCUAACUCAAUGUUAGAAAUACAGAAAUUCAGUAGUUCUUCUGGUUUUGAUGAUCCAUCAACUUCAUUAGACUGUGUUGGCUCCAAUGUUAGGCUUUGUUCAAGAUCAUUUAGUUGGCUUCAUGGAAACAAGUGUUCUCGAACGAGUUUAUUGGAAGAAGUUACACCAAUUAUUGGAACUGUUACCAAUAAUACUGAGGGGACUCAAAUGAGGAACUUCAAGAAAGCUCAAAUCAGAUAGCAGCAAAGUCUAGAAAGUGUUUAAGGCCAUUUAGUUGGCUGCAUUACAGAAAGCGAAGGCAUUUAAAUUUUGAAGAAACCAGUCUCUUCUGCAACAACUCUUACAGAAAAAGAUAGCGUAUCUGGGAGGCUCCAGGAUGAUUUGAAUUCUUGCUUAAAUAGUUGUGAAAAGGUGAUUCCCCACAAAGGAUCUUUCAGUCAAGUUCAACUUUGGUUUGAUAUGUUGGAGAGGUUCCAUUCUGCCAAUUAGCUCUAGCUCAAUGGCACUUCCUUUUCCCACAAUAAUGGUUGGAGGAUGCCUUGGUUUUCAGUAUCACAAGCUCCUAAGCCCCUGGUAGUCGCCAAAGGGGCUUAUAUUAACCUUAAAUCCAUGUUUUAUGACAUGGAAUGUUCUUCAUCAAUGUUGUCAGGAAAACGUAUCCUCUAGUUCAAUUUUAAAUGUACAUGUAGCUAAUUUGUGCUCUCUCCAUUAUAAAAUUGCCUUUCAUUUCCAUUGUUUUCACCUCACUUGAUAGACUGAAUGAUCAGCAACUAAUGGUCCUUUGGUUGUCAAUACCCCUUGUGUUUUUUUUUUUUUUUUUUUUUUUUUUUUUUUCUUCUUUUGUUGUGCAAUCAUGCAUUUUAUUUGCCAAAGAAACACAGUUUGACCUUAAAGUUUGUGAUGCUAUGAGCUUCUGCCAUGCUUUUUCUUUGGUGCAAAAGAACACAGUACCUUAAUAAUCUUCAGAUAUACUAAAUUCUCUGAAGCCUAAUAUUGCUGGUGCAAAGUUUCUUAUUGGCAAUAUCUUUGGCUUAUCUGAAAUAAAUGCAACUCAGGAAAUGCCAUGCUGCCAGAGUAGUGGCUUUUCUGUCAACAAAUCAGCAUGCAUGUAGCACUCACUUGUUAAGUUGUUUAAGAGGUCGUACACAGGACAGUGAGGACAGUGUUGCCAACAUUAUUGGAUAAGCAUUGUGCUGUUCCAGAAUUAAAUGAUACUGGAAAAUCUAGCCCAGCUUUAAGUAAUCAAGCGCAAAAAUAUGCAACGGGGGAGAGUGUUGAAAUGCAUAAGGGAUCCAGAAGAUUGGAUGAUGCCGCAUGUGUUUUGAGACAUAAACUUCUGGAAAGCUGGAUCUUUUGGCUCUUUUCAUGUCUAGUAGGCCACUGGUGCAAGCAAACUUCUGUCACUGAAACUGAGCAGGGGAGUCAAGAUCUAUAUUAUUAUAGGAAGUCAGUUUGGGAGAAGCUGAUAAAUAACACCGUCACUUGCUUGAAAGAUCUGGGUUAUCGUGACUUGGAUGAUGUGAACCUUGGUUGUCCUAAUAAAUAUGAGAGCAGUCUAUGCCACUAAGCAUACCAAAUUCUUAACUAAUAUUAGUUCUCAAUUUUAGAAGUUUUGAACUUCUAAAAUAAAAAAGGAUGACAAAGUAUCUCCCAUGCACAACUAGAGAUACUUGGCUAAACUAAACGAAAGCCUUAUGUCCUUAAAAUAUUUAUAGUGCAGUAUUCAUGAGAUAAAAUCUGCAUUUUUAUGUACUUCCCCAUCCA